RNAcentral lists this ribosomal RNA (492 nucleotides) under uncultured bacterium. RNAcentral describes it as "partial 16S ribosomal RNA". It matches the Rfam family "Bacterial small subunit ribosomal RNA", at positions 29 to 507 of the family's 1533-position model. The record is from RNAcentral.
AGUGAACGCUGGCGGUAGGCCUAACACAUGCAAGUCGAACGGCAGCACAGUAAGAGCUUGCUCUUACGGGUGGCGAGUGGCGGACGAGUGAGGAAUACAUCGGAAUCUACUUUUUCGUGGGGGAUAACGUAGGGAAACUUACGCUAAUACCGCAUACGACCUACGGGUGAAAGCAGGGGAUCUUCGGACCUUGCGCGAUUGAAUGAGCCGAUGUCGGAUUAGCUAGUUGGCGGGGUAAAGGCCCACCAAGGCGACGAUCCGUAGCUGGUCUGAGAGGAUGAUCACCCACACUGGAACUGAGACACGGUCCAGACUCCUACGGGAGGCAGCAGUGGGGAAUAUUGGACAAUGGGCGCAAGCCUGAUCCAGCCAUACCGCGUGGGUGAAGAAGGCCUUCGGGUUGUAAAGCCCUUUUGUUGGGAAAGAAAAGCAGCAGGUUAAUACCCCGCUGUUCUGACGGUACCCAAAGAAUAAGCACCGGCUAACUUCGUG